CUUUCCCUCUGGCGGCAUGCCUUACACAUGCAAGUCGAACGGCAGCACGGGUGCUUGCACCUGGUGGCGAGUGGCGAACGGGUGAGUAAUACAUCGGAACAUGUCCUGUAGUGGGGGAUAGCCCGGCGAAAGCCGGAUUAAUACCGCAUACGAUCUACGGAUGAAAGCGGGGGACCUUCUGGCCUCGCGCUAUAGGGUUGGCCGAUGGCUGAUUAGCUAGUUGGUGGGGUAAAGGCCUACCAAGGCGACGCUCAGUAGCUGGUCUGAGAGGACGACCAGCCACACUGGGACUGAGACACGGCCCAGACUCCUACGGGAGGCAGCAGUGGGGAAUUUUGGACAAUGGGCGAAAGCCUGAUCCAGCAAUGCCGCGUGUGUGAAGAAGGCCUUCGGGUUGUAAAGCACUUUUGUCCGGAAAGAAAUCCUUGGCUCUAAUACAGUCGGGGGAUGACGGUACCGGAAGAAUAAGCACCGGCUAACUACGUG
This 486-nucleotide ribosomal RNA is filed under the name uncultured bacterium. RNAcentral describes it as "partial 16S ribosomal RNA". It matches the Rfam family "Bacterial small subunit ribosomal RNA", at positions 36 to 507 of the family's 1533-position model. The record is from RNAcentral.